Zalophus californianus (California sea lion) is the source of this 1302-nucleotide long non-coding RNA. RefSeq lists it as uncharacterized. The transcript has 4 exons. The record is from RefSeq and is a predicted model, not a curated record. NCBI's taxonomy places the organism in Eukaryota, Metazoa, Chordata, Mammalia, Carnivora, Otariidae.
CUUCGUAAUUGGUAGGAAGUUUGAAUAUAAAGGCCUACAAAAACAUCGAGAAAAUUUAUUUAUCCUUCAAGAAAAUAAGGGGAAAGUGGAGAGAACUAUGACCAGAAUAUGAAGAAAGAAGCACUCAUGGCAGAGUGUCUGCUGGACAAGAGUUGGAGCCAUAGAUAGAGGAAAUCAAAUUUAAAAAUUGUGGCUGAAGAAGGGGUGCUGAGGAGAUGAAAAUCUAUAUAUCAACCCUGCUACUUUGUUUUGAGAAUGAAGUGGGAUAAUGUAUAUUAGAGCUUCAUGCAAGGAUUAUUAUUAUUAUCAAAUGUAUUUUUCCUAUGGAAGAAGUUAACUUGAAACCCUGAAGGGGCUGACUGCUUCAGCAAAGAAUUCCUGUCACAACAUUAAAGAAAUAUGGACAGUCUUCAGUGAUGAAAUUGAUAAUGAACAAAAAUGAAAAUAAAACCAUGGUUAAUCAAAAAAGACACAGGAAGAAGAACAAAUUAGGGUUUAGAAGUGAGGAAAAUCUAUUAAGUAGUCACUUAUAUAAGAGUUAUAUAGUUGGCACUAUGUUGUGGAGUCCAACUUGACAGUCCUUCAGGCAAUGACAUACAAAUGACUAACCUCCCCCAGGCCCCAACCCCGAGCCCAGCACAUGUCCUCUCUAUGGGAUUAGCCCUGAAUGAAUGGCCUUACCUAAUUUAAACAUGAUACUUCCUUUCAGCUCUUAAAUUUCUCUCAUCAAUUUGUACUGAUUAAUUUUUGGGUUUGAUCUGGCCUAGUGUUUUAGGGACUACACAUGGAUCUUUCUCAGUGACUUCACUCCUAGAAACACAUUCACAGAAAUACAGGAAAAAUAGCUAUCUUGAUGCGAACUGGCUUUCAGGGUGGAAUGUCCGCCAGAUUUGUCUUAGGCUAGCAGUCAGGACUCUUGAACUGGUGUGGUAAAGUCUUACCACUGUUUUAUCAGUUAAUGCUGAUUGACUUAAUACUGUAGUGACUGCUACAAGAAGCUAAAGGAAAACACACGUCUUGAGAAUAAUAGUAUUGAUAUCCUUUAGACUUGCGUAAAGAAAUUUUAAAAGAAGAAAUAUUACCUAAAAGUAGCUCUACUUAUGUCUUCUUAUGCGCUCAUAGACUUGGCUAACUCUGUCUUUUGCUAUUGGGGUAGUAGUCUGUUUACACUAAAAUGGAAACCAUUAUUAAAGGAGUAAAUGUGAUAAUUGGCUUUCUCUGCUUGACUUAUCUCACUUAGCAUAAUCUCCUCCAGUUCCAUCCACAUUGAUGCAAAAGUUGGGUAUUCAUCCUUUCUGAUGG